GUGAAACAAGACUAUAAAUAUUAGAGUUCAUUAAGGCAACUAGAAACUCAGCCAAAUUAAAAUAUUUCUUGUUCUUCACAAUUAAAAUGGCAUCAAUAAAAAUUGAGAAACCAGUUGGUACUCAACCAUCUGCCUCUACAAUCAAGAAAACAUCAACUAAGGCUCCUACUGCUUCCAAAUCCGCCCCGAAAAAGACUCGCGAGCCUAAGAAAAAGGCAUCAGGUAGCAAGGCAGGUGGAAAGAAUAAUAACUAAGAAGAAGUUGGAGUAAUUAAUUAGAGUAUGAUGAAGAAUAUAAUUGUCGUUGUUUAAAAUUAUGAGUGAUGUACUUUUCUUCUCUUAAUGAAAUAAUCUCAUACUCUU
Long non-coding RNA from Solanum stenotomum, 362 nucleotides. RefSeq lists it as uncharacterized. Lineage: Eukaryota; Viridiplantae; Streptophyta; Magnoliopsida; Solanales; Solanaceae. The transcript is spliced from 2 exons. The record is from RefSeq and is a predicted model, not a curated record.